GCACAGACCAUCAAAGAGGCAACAUGUAAGCUGUCACACUGAGAAAGGAAGGUUGGAAGGAGGAAGGCAGCUUGAACAGCAUCUCCAGUGUACCCAGGCCUGCCCUGAAACCAUGGUAACAUGAUUAAGCUCUUCGGUGCCGCUCCCACGCAAGAGUUUGAGCUGCAGCGCCCCUGGAGGCAGUCCUAACAAGUACACCCGGAAGCCGCAGGGAACGCCCAUCUGCCUAAGACUCUGCCUACAGCAACUCGGCACAGAGGUCCUCUCGCUUACCCUCAUGUGUCAAACCUCUCAGGAGUUCAUCCCUAUUGCAGUCCCCCGGACUGACACUCACGUGGUCAAGGAUUCUGGGAAAUGUAGUUCUUGGCGACUCUCUGAGGAAGAGACUUCAGAAUGGGAACUACAAGUCCAUUUCCCUACUUGGUCACUGCCUUUGCAGGAGUUGGCACAGCAUUACCCUUAAGGAAACCUAGCCUUUUCUUGUCUCCCCUGCUUCAACUCCUUGAUUUUUUUUUAUAUUUUGUUUUAGCGGUGGUAACGUAAUUUUGUGGUUUUGAGGCAAGGGCUCCUACUGUAAUUCAGGCUGGCCUCGAACUCAACAAUGUAAAAAAGCUAUUCUCUCCUCCUCCAAGUCCGGGUGUUGCAGGGAACAAUCCUAGUUCAUCAUACUGCUGAAUACUGAACACCUAGGACACUGGCUUUCUCUCUUACUUGCUGAGGAUCAAAACCAGAGCCUUGCACUAAAACCACACCACUCUUCCCUCUUUAGUUAAUGUGUGUUGUUUAUGUGUGUGUGCACACGUGUCUGUGCAGGUGCUUGAGACUAUAGAGGGCAGAGGUCAACACUGGGUAUUUUCCUCCAUCCCCCAUGUAUUCGAAUAGAGGCUAGCCUUCAAGGCCCAGAGAUCUGCCUGCCUUUGCCACCUCAGUUUUGGAAUAAUAAGUGUGUGCCACGAGGCCUGGUGUUUUUUGUUUGUUUUAACCUGGAUCAGAGGUGUUAAACUCAGACCCUCAUGCUUCUGUGGCAAGCACUUUACUGACUGAGCUAUAUCUGUAAUCCACCUAGGCUAAUUUUUAAAAGAAUUAUUCUCAAACUGGCCUGGCUGUACACACACCGGUGUUCCAAGUUCUCAUGGGUCUGAGGCAGGAAAACUAUGAGCUCAGGGUCUCCUGAGCUACACAACCAAAUGCUUGUUCAAAAAAAAAAAAAAGAAGAAGAAUUCUAACUCAACACUCUCCUCUAAA
Myodes glareolus (Bank vole) is the source of this 1245-nucleotide non-coding RNA. The record is from RefSeq and is a predicted model, not a curated record. NCBI's taxonomy places the organism in Eukaryota, Metazoa, Chordata, Mammalia, Rodentia, Cricetidae.